Molecule: long non-coding RNA, 1050 nt
Organism: Cebus imitator (Panamanian white-faced capuchin)
Lineage: Eukaryota; Metazoa; Chordata; Mammalia; Primates; Cebidae
Exons: 2
Source: RefSeq, a predicted model, not a curated record
ACAACCACUUGUUUAGCAAAAUAAAAAAAUAUUUGUACAUUUAAGCAAUAUCUUAUUAAAGUUUGCAUUGAAUAAACAGUUGCCAUACAAAAUGGUGUCUUUAAAAUGAAUACAAAAACAGAUUUUAUUUUUCCUUAAUUUUUGAGAAAUUAUCAUGCUAAUUGUAAUUUGGGAAAUAGCCAAAGAAAACAGGUUGAUACAUUGUUAACAAAAGACCUAAAAAUAUUAACAAAUAUGGUCUAAUCAAUGAUGUGAAUAAUUUGUUAGUUAAAUAUAUGUGUUCUCCAGUGUUUGUCAUUUGACAUGUUUUAUAUUGCUUUUGAUAUUAAAAAUUUUAUGAUUAACAUGAUCAACAUUAAUCAAACAUUUCUGAGUAGAAACAACUUUCUAAGUAUAACUACUGGCUGUGGAAUCUCACUGCCACAAUAGUUAUUAUAUGUUUAUGUAUGUAAGACCUCUUUUAUAAACCUGCAAACUAUUAGGUUUCUAAUGGGUACUGAAAAAAUGAACUGUUGAAACAUUCUAAGGUUUAACACCGCAAACUGCAAAAUUUCUCUUAUUUUAUUGGGUGGUUCGGUGCCAAACCCCAGGACCCCUUUCAGCCACAUUAAGUUCAUCUGUAAGAGCACAGAUGGAGUAUGCAGUAGUGAAGAUUUAACCAGGGUUGUUAAUACCAAAGGAACUGGACAAAGUGAGCAGGGCAAAGGUUAAUGCCAACUGAGUUGUUGUGAUCACUGACCCAUCAAAGUUGAGUAGAAGAGAAAAGUUAGAAUGAGGAGCAUGGAAAAAUGGUAGACCUGGUAAGUCUGAAAUCCAUGAAGAGUUAUCAUUGAAAGUGAGCUCUCAGACAGCAAAGUAUUUAAAAUUAAGAUUAUGAUGGGUUUGCAUCUAUUGGUAACAGCAAGACCUAGGGUAUGACAUUUAUGUGUGUGCAUAUAUGUAUGUAAGUGCGUGUGUUUAAAUGUUUAUGAAUCUUGUGUUCUACUAUUCUCAUGUAGAAAACAUUGUUUGCUUUAGCAAAAUUAAAAGUUUUAUUUUAUUACCCAAUGA